GAUGAACGCUGGCGGCGUGCCUAAUACAUGCAAGUCGAGCGAACAGAUGAGGAGCUUGCUCCUCUUACGUUAGCGGCGGACGGGUGAGUAACACGUGGAUAACCUACCUAUAAGACUGGGAUAACUUCGGGAAACCGGAGCUAAUACCGGAUAAUAUAUUUAACCGCAUGGUUCAAUAGUGAAAGACGGUUUUGCUGUCACUUAUAGAUGUAUCCGCGCCGCAUUAGCUAGUUGGUAAGGUAACGGCUUACCAAGGCAACGAUGCGUAGCCGACCUGAGAGGGUGAUCGGCCACACUGGAACUGAGACACGGUCCAGACUCCUACGGGAGGCAGCAGUAGGGAAUCUUCCGCAAUGGGCGAAAGCCUGACGGAGUAACGCCGCGUGAGUGAUGAAGGUCUUCGGAUCGUAAAACUCUGUUAUUAGGGAAGAACAAAUGUGUAAGUAACUAUGCACGUCUUGACGGUAACUAAUCAGAAAGCCACGGCUAACUACGUG
This 497-nucleotide ribosomal RNA is filed under the name uncultured bacterium. RNAcentral's name for it is "partial 16S ribosomal RNA". It matches the Rfam family "Bacterial small subunit ribosomal RNA", at positions 28 to 507 of the family's 1533-position model. The record is from RNAcentral.